Molecule: ribosomal RNA, 497 nt
Filed under: uncultured bacterium
Lineage: Bacteria
Description: partial 16S ribosomal RNA
Rfam family: Bacterial small subunit ribosomal RNA
Source: RNAcentral
GAUGAACGCUGGCGGCGUGCCUAAUACAUGCAAGUCGAGCGAACAGACGAGGAGCUUGCUCCUCUGACGUUAGCGGCGGACGGGUGAGUAACACGUGGAUAACCUACCUAUAAGACUGGGAUAACUUCGGGAAACCGGAGCCAAUACCGGAUAAUCUAUUCAACCGCAUGGUUCAAUAGUGAAAGACGGUUUUGCAGUCACUUAUAGAUGGAUCCGCGCCGCAUUAGCUAGUGGGUAAGGUAACGGCUUACCAAGGCGACGAUGCGUAGCCGACCUGAGGGGGUGAUCGGCCACACUGGAACUGAGACACGGUCCAGACGCCUACGGGAGGCAGCCGUAGGGAAUCUUCCGCAAUGGGCGAAAGCCUGACGGAGCAACGCCGCGUGAGUGAUGAAGGUCUUCGGAUCGUAAAACUCUGUUAUUAGGGAAGAACAAAUGUGUAAGUAACUAUGCACGUCUUGACGGUACCUAAUCAGAAAGCCACGGCUAAGUACGUG